CCUACGGGAGGCUGCAGUCGAGAAUCUUCCGCAAUGCACGAAAGUGUGACGGAGCGACGCCGCGUGGUUGAUGAAGCACUUCGGUGCGUAAAGACCUUUUAUGGGGGAAGAAGUUUUGACGGUACCCCAUGAAUAAGAGGCUGCUAAUCUCGUGCCAGCAGCAGCGGUAACACGAGAGCCUCGAGCGUUAUCCGGAAUUAUUGGGCGUAAAGGGUGUGUAGGCGGACGUAUUAGUCUCAUGUAAAAGCCUCUGGCCUAACCAGAGAUCCGCAUGGGAAACGGUACGACUAGGAGGGUGCGAGGGGUGAAUGGAACUCACGGUGUAGGGGUGAAAUCCGUUGAUAUCGUGGGGAACGCCGAAAGCGAAGGCAAUUCACUGGCGCAUACCUGACGCUGAGACACGAAAGCCAGGGUAUCGAAUGGGAUUAGAUACCCUGGUA
RNAcentral lists this ribosomal RNA (440 nucleotides) under uncultured bacterium. RNAcentral describes it as "bacterial SSU rRNA". It matches the Rfam family "Bacterial small subunit ribosomal RNA", at positions 338 to 792 of the family's 1533-position model. The record is from RNAcentral.